GGUCACAAGCGUUAUCCGGAAUUAUUGGGCGUAAAGCGUUCGUAGGCGGUUUGUUAAGUCUGGAGUUAAAGACUGGGGCUCAACCCCAGCCCGCUCUGGAUACUGGCUGACUAGAGUUACAUAGAGGUAAGUGGAAUUCUUAGUGGAGCGGUGGAAUGCGUAGAUAUUAGGAAGAACACCAAUGGCGAAGGCAGCUUACUGGAUGUACACUGACGCCCAGGGACGAAAGCGUGGGGAGCAAACAGGAUUAGAUACCCUGGUAGUCCACGCCGUAAACGAUGAUCAUUAGCCGCUAGAAUAUUUAGUGGCGCAGCUAACGCAUUAAAUGAUCCGCCUGAGUAGUAUGCUCGCAAGAGUGAAACUUAAAGGAAUUGACGGGGACCCGCACAAGCGGUGGAGCAUGUGGUUUAAUUUGAAGAUACGCGUAGAACCUUACCCACUCUUGACAUCUUCCGCAAUACUAUGGAGACAUAGUGGAGGUUAACGGAAUGACAGAUGGUGCAUGGUUGUCGUCAGCUCGUGCCGUGAGGUGUUAGGUUAAGUCCUGCAACGAGCGCAACCCCUGUCUUUAGUUACUAACGGGUAAUGCCGAGGACUCUAAAGAGACUGACUGGGUAACCAGUAGGAAGGUGGGGACGACGUCAAAUCAUCAUGCCUCUUACGAGUGGGGCAACACACGUGCUACAAUGGACGGUACAAAGAGAAGCAAUAUGGUGACAUGGAGCAAACCUCAAAAAACCGUUCUCAGUUCGGAUUGAAGUCUGAAACUCGACUUCAUGAAGUUGGAAUCGCUAGUAAUCGUAGAUCAGCUACGCUACGGUGAAUACGUUCUCGGGUCUUGUACACACCGCCCGUC
RNAcentral lists this ribosomal RNA (856 nucleotides) under uncultured Mycoplasma sp. Its description in RNAcentral is "bacterial SSU rRNA". It matches the Rfam family "Bacterial small subunit ribosomal RNA", at positions 530 to 1398 of the family's 1533-position model. The record is from RNAcentral. Lineage: Bacteria; Bacillati; Mycoplasmatota; Mollicutes; Mycoplasmatales; Mycoplasmataceae.